RNAcentral lists this ribosomal RNA (890 nucleotides) under Peribacillus sp. I5. RNAcentral describes it as "bacterial SSU rRNA". The record is from RNAcentral. Lineage: Bacteria; Bacillati; Bacillota; Bacilli; Caryophanales; Bacillaceae.
GCUUGCUCCCUGAGAUUAGCGGCGGACGGGUGAGUAACACGUGGGCAACCUGCCUAUAAGACUGGGAUAACUUCGGGAAACCGGAGCUAAUACCGGAUACGUUCUUUUCUCGCAUGAGAGAAGAUGGAAAGACGGUUUACGCUGUCACUUAUAGAUGGGCCCGCGGCGCAUUAGCUAGUUGGUGAGGUAAUGGCUCACCAAGGCGACGAUGCGUAGCCRACCUGAGAGGGUGAUCGGCCACACUGGGACUGAGACACGGCCCARACUCCUACGGGAGGCAGCAGUAGGGAAUCUUCCGCAAUGGACGAAAGUCUGACGGAGCAACGCCGCGUGAACGAAGAAGGCCUUCGGGUCGUAAAGUUCUGUUGUUAGGGAAGAACAAGUACCAGAGUAACUGCUGGUACCUUGACGGUACCUAACCAGAAAGCCACGGCUAACUACGUGCCAGCAGCCGCGGUAAUACGUAGGUGGCAAGCGUUGUCCGGAAUUAUUGGGCGUAAAGCGCGCGCAGGUGGUUCCUUAAGUCUGAUGUGAAAGCCCACGGCUCAACCGUGGAGGGUCAUUGGAAACUGGGGAACUUGAGUGCAGAAGAGGAAAGUGGAAUUCCAAGUGUAGCGGUGAAAUGCGUAGAGAUUUGGAGGAACACCAGUGGCGAAGGCGACUUUCUGGUCUGUAACUGACACUGAGGCGCGAAAGCGUGGGGAGCAAACAGGAUUAGAUACCCUGGUAGUCCACGCCGUAAACGAUGAGUGCUAAGUGUUAGAGGGUUUCCGCCCUUUAGUGCUGCAGCUAACGCAUUAAGCACUCCGCCUGGGGAGUACGGCCGCAAGGCUGAAACUCAAAGGAAUUGACGGGGGCCCGCACAAGCGGUGGAGCAUGUGGUUUAAUUC